RNAcentral lists this unclassified non-coding RNA (335 nucleotides) under soil metagenome. Its description in RNAcentral is "partial contains 5.8S ribosomal RNA, internal transcribed spacer 2, and large subunit ribosomal RNA". The stretch from base 1 to 120 matches the Rfam family "5.8S ribosomal RNA", at positions 35 to 154 of the family's 154-position model. The record is from RNAcentral.
GAUGAAGAACGCAGUGAAAUGCGAUAAGUAAUGUGAAUUGCAGAAUUCAGUGAAUCAUCGAAUCUUUGAACGCACAUUGCGCCCUAUGGUAUUCCGUAGGGCAUGCCUGUUCGAGCGUCAUUCAAACCUUCAAGCUCUGCUUGGUGUUGGGCGUCUGUCCUGCCUCACGGCGCGGACUCGCCUCAAAUCUAUUGGCGGCCGGCACGUUGGCUUCGAGCGCAGCAGAAACGCGAACUCGAGACCGGCGGAUCGGCUCCCAGAAGCUACCCCCAUGAAUUUGACCUCGGAUCAGGUAGGGAUACCCGCUGAACUUAAGCAUAUCAAUAAGCGGAGGA